RNAcentral lists this transfer RNA (117 nucleotides) under Xylaria curta. Its description in RNAcentral is "tRNA-Ser". It matches the Rfam family "tRNA". From Rfam's summary of the family: Transfer RNA (tRNA) molecules are approximately 80 nucleotides in length. The record is from RNAcentral. Lineage: Eukaryota; Fungi; Ascomycota; Sordariomycetes; Xylariales; Xylariaceae.
GGCAACGUGGCUGAGUGGUCAAAGCGUACGACUAGAAAUUACUACAUCUAUAGAAUAUAUCUAUAAUCUUGCAAUCGUAUCCCUUCGGGGUCACAGGUUCGAGUCCUGUCGUUGUCG